GGCUGAGGAUUCUGAUGGUGACCUCUACGGAUGCCUCCAACAGUGGAACGGUUCCUUGUCUAGACAAUGUGGUGAUACACCUGUCUACUGUGAGAAAAUAGUGACUCUGCAGAGUGAAAUUCCCACAAAAAUGGUCCUGGCACUACCACAUCUGGACAGUGAGGCAAUCAUCACAGCAGAGUCCUCCCAAUAUGAGGAAUUACAGCAGCAGUACAUGGACUUGCUGCAGAUAAAGAAUGAACUAGAAGAAAGCUGUAUAAAGAAAGAUAAGCUUCUCCGUGAUGUACAACAAGCCUUAGCAGAAGAGCAGGCCAAAAGAGAGGCAGCUGAGAAGGAAAAGCAGCUUCUUGAGGAAAGGUGUAAACAGCUGCAGAAAAGGGUAGAGCUUCUAGAAAAAUGUUUCAAGGAAUCUAUGAUCCAAAUGAAAGAGCAGAUAAAGAGAGAAAGAGAAGUCCUUCUGAAAGAGCAGAAUAAGAGGAUUGAGAGGCUUGAGGUAAGCCUGGCCUGGGAUUGGGCAUGGACUACAGAACAAAGCCCUAGAACAGCAGGAAGGGCGCGUUGA
This 562-nucleotide long non-coding RNA is filed under the name Canis lupus dingo (dingo). RNAcentral describes it as "lncRNA (ENSCAFG00020013654.1)". The record is from RNAcentral. Lineage: Eukaryota; Metazoa; Chordata; Mammalia; Carnivora; Canidae.